This 497-nucleotide ribosomal RNA is filed under the name uncultured bacterium. RNAcentral's name for it is "partial 16S ribosomal RNA". It matches the Rfam family "Bacterial small subunit ribosomal RNA", at positions 28 to 507 of the family's 1533-position model. The record is from RNAcentral.
GAUGAACGCUGGCGGCGUGCCUAAUACAUGCAAGUCGAGCGAACGGACGAGAAGCUUGUUUCUCUGAUGUUAGCGGCGGACGGGUGAGUAACACGUGGAUAACCUACCUAUAAGACUGGGAUAACUUCGGGAAACCGGCGCUAAUACCGGAUAAUAUUUUGAACCGCAUGGUUCAAAAGUGAAAGACGGUCUUGCUGUCACUUAUAGAUGGAUCCGCGCUGCAUUAGCUAGUUGGUAAGGUAACGGCUUACCAAGGCAACGAUGCAUAGCCGACCUGAGAGGGUGAUCGGCCACACUGGAACUGAGCCGCGGUCAAGACUCCUACGGGAGGCAGCAGUAGGGAAUCUUCCGCAAUGGGCGAAAGCCUGACGGAGCAACGCCGCGUGAGUGAUGAAGGUCUUCGGAUCGUAAAACUCUGUUAUUAGGUAAGAACAUAUGUGGAAGUAACUGUGCACAUCGUGACGGUACCUAAUCAGAAAGCCACGGCUAACUACGUG